GAGGUGUUUUCUGAAUUGCGUUAUGU
RNAcentral lists this microRNA (26 nucleotides) under Eisenia fetida (common brandling worm). Its description in RNAcentral is "Efe-Mir-2685-P1a_5p* (star (passenger))". The record is from RNAcentral. Lineage: Eukaryota; Metazoa; Annelida; Clitellata; Crassiclitellata; Lumbricidae.